This 450-nucleotide ribosomal RNA is filed under the name uncultured bacterium. RNAcentral's name for it is "partial 16S ribosomal RNA". It matches the Rfam family "Bacterial small subunit ribosomal RNA", at positions 354 to 796 of the family's 1533-position model. The record is from RNAcentral.
GUGAGGAAUAUUGGGCAAUGGGCGAAAGCCUGACCCAGCCACGCCGCGUGAGUGAUGAAGGCCUUCGGGUUGUAAAGCUCUGUGGGGAGGGAAGAAAAAGCGGGAGAGUAACUGCUCUCGUGUUGACGGUACCUCCUUAGCAAGCACCGGCUAACUCUGUGCCAGCAGCCGCGGUAAUACAGAGGGUGCAAACGUUGCUCGGAAUUACUGGGCGUAAAGCGCGUGUAGGCUGACAUGCAAGUCGGGUGUGAAAUCCCAGGGCUGAACCUUGGAACUGCACUCGAAACUGCACGGCUGGAGUACUGGAGAGGGAAGCGGAAUUCCGGGUGUAGAGGUGAAAUUCGUAGAUAUCCGGAGGAACACCAGUGGCGAAGGCGGCUUCCUGGACAGUAACUGACGCUGAGACGCGAAAGCGUGGGGAGCAAACAGGAUUAGAAACCCGUGUAGUCC